Homarus americanus (American lobster) is the source of this 739-nucleotide long non-coding RNA. RefSeq lists it as uncharacterized. The record is from RefSeq and is a predicted model, not a curated record. The transcript has 3 exons. NCBI's taxonomy places the organism in Eukaryota, Metazoa, Arthropoda, Malacostraca, Decapoda, Nephropidae.
AGUCUCGCCAACCGUGGCAUCAAGUGGACGCCGGCGGGAUGGUACAUCGUAGCAAUAAAACAUCACCAGCUUUCCACUCGCUCUACUUCUGAACAUUCGACCAGUAAUGAAGUCGCUCGUAGUAGUGGUUGUGGCCGGGCUGUGUGUCCUCUCACUACGGGGGGGCAGGACGAACGGCCAAGAAUUGCAAUGCAGCAAAGAGAUUUCGGCCCAGUGCCCUGUCAAUGACCCGACCCCUCCGGUAUACAUCGCGGACCCCGACAACUGUGCGAACUACUGCGAGUGUUCCGGAGGCAGCGCCUGGAGCUUCCACUGUGAUGCCAAUUUAAUGUAUAAUGACAUAAAGCACGUUUGUGACUGGCCAAAUAAUGUGGACUGUGGCAGCAGGCCUACAGUUUAGUACUGCUGACGAAGGAGCGAUUGGACCUGAUGUUUCAACAGCUACACCAUGGCUUCAGUUGAUGGCUGACAUUUGUGUGAUUGAUAAUGAAGAAUUUUCAUGACAUUGAGAAUGAUGCAUCUAUCCAAUUUUCUUUUAUUUCUUUAUAUCUUGUAUUUCAUUUCCUGUAGAGUAAAUCUUGUAUUUUGCCGGACACAUAAAACUUUGCAUCACUUUUCCAAGACCAAAUUAAGCUUAACUGAACCUCCACGUCUCCUCUUUAUGCUUAGAGUUAAAUUUUGAAGUUUCAUGUAAAUGAUAUUUUAGACAAUAGAAGACUGAAAUAAAUAUAUGAAUCAG